Enterococcus sp. RIT-PI-f is the source of this 237-nucleotide non-coding RNA. The record is from Rfam. Lineage: Bacteria; Bacillati; Bacillota; Bacilli; Lactobacillales; Enterococcaceae.
AUAGAUCCGAUGAUAAGGAAAGUAAACGACGAAACUUUAAAGAGAGACUCUGUUUGGUGGAAAGAGUUAAGUCAGAAGCGUUGAACAAUGGCCUUGGAGGAUUGAUUGUCGAUAAGUAGGCAAUCACGGACAGCUCGACCGAUACCGCGAGCGCCAAUCUCUGUGCAGACAGAUGUUGGGUCAAGGGAAAGGCAACUUUCCGAACAAAAGGUGGUACCGCGAACUUUCGUCCUUUUA